UGACUACAAACCUAAAAUCAUCCAUGCAUGGUUAGCCAUAGUGUGUAGUGUAUUUAAUAUAGUAAACGAAUAACUAUGAAGAGCAUAAAGGAACAAUAUCAGAGUAAUUUAUUAAUGCAAUUGGUAAAGGUAGCUGUACUAACAGUUGCACUUAGCCAUGUUAUAGUAUUAAUAAAAGCAAACAGGCCUGUAGGUAGUCAUCCAGGACAUGUUUAUUUCGAACAGCCUUGCUGUGGAAGAGCACAUCUUAGACAUCACAAAGAGCACGUUCGCGAAUUCAAUUGUGGAAUGCUUUACUACAGAACUCUUUACCUAGAUAACAAGAGAGACGUCUUAUAUGUUGGAGCAAUGGAUAAAAUUUUUAAGUUGAAUUUGAGUAAUAUUAGCUACUCCAGUUGUGAGAAAGAUGCUCUUAAUUUGGAACCGAGCAAUAUAGCUAAUUGUGUAUCAAAAGGCAAAUCAGAUCACUUUGACUGUCGAAAUCAUAUUAGAGUGAUACAACCAAUGGAGGAUGGCAAUCGAUUAUAUGUGUGUGGUACAAACGCCCAUUCUCCAAAAGAUUGGGUCAUAUAUAGUAAUCUCACUCACUUAUCACGACAUGAAUUCGUGCCAGGCGUGGGUAUGGGUAUUGCGAAGUGUCCUUACGAUCCUGCCGACAAUUCAACAGCUGUUUGGGUUGAAAAAGGAAAUCCAGGAGAUUUACCAGCUCUUUAUUCCGGAACUAAUGCUGAAUUCACCAAAGCUGAUACGGUUAUUUUUCGUACCGAUCUUCUCAAUUUUACCACAGGCCGUAAAGCUUACAGCUUUAAAAGAACACUUAAAUAUGAUUCAAAAUGGCUAGAUAAACCAAACUUCGUAGGCUCUUUUGACAUUGAUGACCACGUUUUCUUCUUCUUUAGAGAAACAGCUGUAGAGUACAUCAAUUGUGGCAAAAAUGUGUAUUCACGUGUCGCUCGAGUUUGUAAAAGAGACACUGGUGGUAAAAAUAUUCUUUCACAAAAUUGGGCAACCUAUUUAAAAGCAAGACUUAAUUGCUCGAUUCCAGGAGAAUUUCCAUUUUAUUUUAAUGAAAUACAAAGCAUCUACAAAAUACCGAACGAUAACACGCGUUUUUAUGGAAUAUUCACAACAGCAAUAAAUGGUUUAAUAGGAUCAGCUAUUUGUUCUUUUCACAUUGAUGCCAUCCAAGAAGCCUUUCGUGGCAAAUUUAAAGAACAAGCAACGAGUAGCAGUGCCUGGUUACCAGUGCUUUCCAAUAAAGUUCCAGAACCUCGACCAGGACAAUGUGUUAAUGAUACUGAAACAUUACCCGAUACCGUACUUAACUUUAUUCGUUCACACCCACUAAUGGACUCAGCAGUAUUACACGAAAAUGAAAAACCAGUAUUUUACAAACGAGAUAUUAUACUUACAAGAUUAGUAGUAGAUAAGGUGUCAAUUAAUUUUAUUGGAAUCGAUUUUAAAUAUAUUAUAUAUUAUGCCGGAUCCAGUGAUGGAAGAGUUUAUAAAAUUGUGCAGUGGAUGGAUAACGAUGAACAGUCCCAAUCAAUUUUGUUAGAUAUAUUCGAUGUCACACUAGGAGAAGCGAUCCAGGCAAUGGAAAUAUCACAGGAGCAUAAAGCUCUUUACGUGGCAUCUGAUCAUAGAAUAAAACAAAUAGAUUUAGUUAUGUGCUCUAGACGAUAUGAUAAUUGCCUAAGGUGUGUCCGUGAUCCGUAUUGUGGAUGGGAUAAGGAUACAAAUGUUUGCAAACCAUACAUUCCAGGUUUGUUACAGGAUGUAUCAAAUAAUACAGUAGAUGUGUGUGAUAGUAGCAUAGGUAAACGUAAACUAAUGGUAACUUGGGGGCAGGCAGUGCAUUUAAGUUGCUUUAUUAAAAUGCCAGAAGUAUUGACGAAUCAAGAAGUUAGAUGGUAUCAUUAUAGCAAAGAAAAAGGUCGCUAUCAAAUUGCUUACAAGUACAGUAUCACAAGUGAUAAAUUUAUUGAAACAUCAGAGAAGGGAUUAGUAAUUAUUGGUGUAAACGAAUAUGAUGCUGGUAGAUAUGAUUGCUGGUUAGGAAGUACGUUACUUUGCUCAUAUAAUAUUUCCGUGGAUGCGCAUAGAUGUUUAGCACCUGCAAAAUCUAACGAUUAUCAAAAGAUAUACUCAGACUGGUGUCAUGAAUUUGAAAAGUAUAAAUCUGCAAUGAAAAGCUGGGAGAGAAAACAAGCACAAUGUGUAUUCAAGCAAAAUGAUAGUAACCAGAAUCUCCAUACGAAUGAAGUGUAUGGAACACCAUUAGUCUGAUAGAAACGUUCAUUGAUGCCCUAAUCAAAUCAAAAUGAGAAAGCGAAUUUGAUUUUGGAUAUUCUAUCAUAUUACUGUACAAGUAAUUUACAAAUUGAGCAUUUUUGGAAAUUGUAUUUGUAUGCUACAUUAUUUGGAAUACAUUCAUUUCACUGAUCCAACAUAAAUAAGCAACAUCAAAUAAAAAAACCGAAAGGCUAAAAAUAUGAUAU
RNA transcript from Ceratosolen solmsi marchali, 2501 nucleotides. It is a transcript of the gene named Semaphorin 2a, with no coding region annotated. The transcript is spliced from 12 exons. The record is from RefSeq and is a predicted model, not a curated record. Lineage: Eukaryota; Metazoa; Arthropoda; Insecta; Hymenoptera; Agaonidae.